GCCGCGAGGCAGAGCAAACCCCUAAAAAGACCGUCUCAGUUCGGAUUGCAGGCUGCAACUCGCCUGCAUGAAGUCGGAAUUGCUAGUAAUCGCGGAUCAGCAUGCCGCGGUGAAUACGUUCCCGGGCCCUGUACACACCGCCCGUCACACCAUGAGAGCCGGUAACACCCGAAGUCAAUAGUCUAACCGCAAGGAGGACAUUGCCGAAGGUGGGAUUGGUAAUUGGGGUGAAGUCGUAACAAGGUAAC
Molecule: ribosomal RNA, 248 nt
Filed under: uncultured bacterium
Lineage: Bacteria
Description: partial 16S ribosomal RNA
Rfam family: Bacterial small subunit ribosomal RNA
Source: RNAcentral